GGCGAGUCAGCCUCCAGAAAAGCCGGAACAUUCGGCACAGUUCAGCUCUUCUCUUCCUCUCCUCGGGAUGAGACCCAAGCUGCACAUUUUCUCAAAUUGCGCUGAGCUGUGACACCUAAAGGGUUACUAAAGCUUUGGCUACAGCAUGGCAGCCUAGACUUCGAGAGACAAGAUACAGAACUUGACAGUCGUCUUAAAAGGUUAAGAGAUGUGUCUAGUAAGAAGAUGCUAUGGGCCGAUGUCAAACAAGUUGCUACCAGUGUUCCCCUCUAGGAUUUUGGUGUUUUCCUGUCUCACAUUCAGAAUUCCAUCAGGAAAACACUCUGCAUUGAGUCAUCAUAUCUCCUGAGGCUCCUUUUGGCUGUGGCAGCUAUUCAGAAUAUAUACCAGAUUCUGGUGAGCUUCCAGGAAGUUAAUAGUCUCCAGUGACUCUUGAAAACUGAAAAUGUAGUCUCAAUGGAUUAUCGGUGUACCAUGUCGCACUGCCAAAUAACCGUGUUGAAUGUGAUGCCUUCAGAAUAGAGCGAAGCCUAC
Molecule: long non-coding RNA, 534 nt
Organism: Prionailurus viverrinus (fishing cat)
Lineage: Eukaryota; Metazoa; Chordata; Mammalia; Carnivora; Felidae
Exons: 7
Source: RefSeq, a predicted model, not a curated record